RNAcentral lists this ribosomal RNA (253 nucleotides) under uncultured bacterium. RNAcentral's name for it is "partial 16S ribosomal RNA". It matches the Rfam family "Bacterial small subunit ribosomal RNA", at positions 524 to 776 of the family's 1533-position model. The record is from RNAcentral.
UACAGAGGGGGCAAGCGUUGUUCGGAAUUACUGGGCGUAAAGGGCGCGUAGGCGGCCUGCUAAGUCGAACGUGAAAUCCCCGGGCUCAACCCGGGAACUGCGUCCGAUACUGGUGGGCUUGAAUCCGGGAGAGGGAUGCGGAAUUCCAGGUGUAGCGGUGAAAUGCGUAGAUAUCUGGAGGAACACCGGUGGCGAAGGCGGCAUCCUGGACCGGUAUUGACGCUGAGGCGCGAAAGCUAGGGUAGCAAACGGG